RNAcentral lists this ribosomal RNA (253 nucleotides) under uncultured bacterium. RNAcentral's name for it is "partial 16S ribosomal RNA". It matches the Rfam family "Bacterial small subunit ribosomal RNA", at positions 524 to 776 of the family's 1533-position model. The record is from RNAcentral.
CACGUAGGGUGCGAGCGUUGUCCGGAAUUAUUGGGCGUAAAGCGCGCGCAGGCGGUCUCUUAAGUCUGAUGUGAAAGCCCACGGCUCAACCGUGGAGGGUCAUUGGAAACUGGGGGACUUGAGUGCAGAAGAGGAAAGCGGAAUUCCACGUGUAGCGGUGAAAUGCGUAGAGAUGUGGAGGAACACCAGUGGCGAAGGCGGCUUUCUGGUCUGUAACUGACGCUGAGGCGCGAAAGCGUGGGGAGCAAACAGG